UACGGGGGGGGCGAGCGUUGUUCGGAAUUACUGGGCGUAAAGGGCGCGUAGGCGGCUUACCAAGUCAGGCGUGAAAUUCCCGGGCUCAACCUGGGGGCUGCGCUUGAUACUGGUGAGCUUGAAUGCGGGAGAGGAUAGUGGAAUUCCCAGUGUAGAGGUGAAAUUCGUAGAUAUUGGGAAGAACACCGGUGGCGAAGGCGGCUAUCUGGCCCGUAAUUGACGCUGAGGUGCGAAAGCGUGGGGAGCAAACAGG
RNAcentral lists this ribosomal RNA (253 nucleotides) under uncultured bacterium. RNAcentral describes it as "partial 16S ribosomal RNA". It matches the Rfam family "Bacterial small subunit ribosomal RNA", at positions 524 to 776 of the family's 1533-position model. The record is from RNAcentral.